Molecule: ribosomal RNA, 439 nt
Filed under: uncultured Pedomicrobium sp.
Lineage: Bacteria; Pseudomonadati; Pseudomonadota; Alphaproteobacteria; Hyphomicrobiales; Hyphomicrobiaceae
Description: bacterial SSU rRNA
Rfam family: Bacterial small subunit ribosomal RNA
Source: RNAcentral
AGAGUUUGAUCCUGGCUCAGAACGAACGCUGGCGGCAGGCCUAACACAUGCAAGUCGAACGCUCGUAGCAAUACGAGAGUGGCAGACGGGUGAGUAACACGUGGGAACCUUCCCUAUGGUUCGGAAUAGCUCAGGGAAACUUGAGGUAAUACCGGAUAAGCCCUUACGGGGAAAGAUUUAUCGCCAUUGGAUGGGCCCGCGUCGGAUUAGCUAGUUGGUGAGGUAACGGCUCACCAAGGCGACGAUCCGUAGCUGGUCUGAGAGGAUGAUCAGCCACACUGGGACUGAGACACGGCCCAGACUCCUACGGGAGGCAGCAGUGGGGAAUAUUGGACAAUGGGCGCAAGCCUGAUCCAGCCAUGCCGCGUGAGUGACGAAGGCCUUAGGGUUGUAAAGCUCUUUUGGCGGGGAAGAUAAUGACGGUACCCGCAGAAUAGUC